Molecule: ribosomal RNA, 705 nt
Filed under: uncultured bacterium
Lineage: Bacteria
Description: bacterial SSU rRNA
Rfam family: Bacterial small subunit ribosomal RNA
Source: RNAcentral
GUCGAACGGACUCAUAUUGAAACCUAGUGAUGUAUGAGUUAGUGGCGGACGGGUGAGUAACGCGUGGAGAACCUGCCGUAUACUGGGGGAUAACACUUAGAAAUAGGUGCUAAUACCGCAUAAGCGCACAGCUUCGCAUGAAGCAGUGUGAAAAACUCCGGUGGUAUACGAUGGAUCCGCGUCUGAUUAGCUUGUUGGCGGGGUAAAGGCCCACCAAGGCGACGAUCAGUAGCCGGCCUGAGAGGGUGAACGGCCACAUUGGGACUGAGACACGGCCCAAACUCCUACGGGAGGCAGCAGUGGGGAAUAUUGCACAAUGGGGGAAACCCUGAUGCAGCGACGCCGCGUGAGUGAAGAAGUAUUUCGGUACGUAAAGCUCUAUCAGCAGGGAAGAAAAUGACGGUACCUGACUAAGAAGCCCCGGCUAACUACGUGCCAGCAGCCGCGGUAAUACGUAGGGGGCAAGCGUUAUCCGGAUUUACUGGGUGUAAAGGGAGCGUAGACGGCAGCGCAAGUCUGGAGUGAAAUCCCAUGGCUUAACCAUGGAACUGCUUUGGAAACUGUGCAGCUGGAGUGCAGGAGAGGUAAGCGGAAUUCCUAGUGUAGCGGUGAAAUGCGUAGAUAUUAGGAGGAACACCAGUGGCGAAGGCGGCUUACUGGACUGUAACUGACGUUGAGGCUCGAAAGCGUGGGGAGCAAACAGGA